This 2787-nucleotide ribosomal RNA is filed under the name Triticum aestivum (bread wheat). RNAcentral describes it as "partial small subunit ribosomal RNA". The record is from RNAcentral. Lineage: Eukaryota; Viridiplantae; Streptophyta; Magnoliopsida; Poales; Poaceae.
AUGAGCUAUCAUGAUAGAGCAGGGGGCGGUACCUUCAGGGGAGAAAGACAACAAGAAUUUGACAAAGAGGCUCAGUUCUACAAAUCCAUUGCAAAAGCACCGAAGAUGGAGUUUCCCAGAUUUGAUGGCUCCAAUCCACAAGAGUGGUUAAGGCUCACAGAGAAAUACUUUGCAAUGGUGUUUGUACCAGAAAGUGCAAAGUUUGACUAUGCUCAGAUGUAUAUCACUGGGAGAGCUGACACUUGGUUGAGGAACUCUGGCAUACUCCAAGAAAACCCCACCUGGAAAGAAUUCUGCAAAGUACUGUGCAAACGAUUUGCUAAUAGCAGCUCUUAUGAAGCAGUAGCUGAUUUCAACUCAAUCAAACAAGGGGCCAGUACUGUAGCAGAGUACACAGACCGAUUUGAAGACAAAAUGGCAUGCUACAAGAAAGAAGACCCUGAAGUAAAAGAGCAGUAUUAUGUCAAAUGCUACAUCAAUGGUUUAAGAGAAGAAAUUAAACACUACCUCAAGCCAUUCAAGCCAGCCACUCUCUAUGAUGCAGUAGACACUGCCAGAGACAUGGAACAUGGACCAAAUGCUUCUAACCAGUCCAGAAAAUACCAGCAAACAGGGUACUAUCAAAAGACCACUGCCACAAAUACCUUACCCACUAAACCAAAACCAAUCGACUAUGCUAACACCAGAAUAGCAGAUAGGCAGAGUACUAGGCCUGAAGUAAAAUACAGAGAACCUGGGAAGUGCAGGUACUAUGGACAAAAGUGGUUUCUUGGACACAAAUGUGCACAAUACAAAACUCUCAAUCUGAUGGCCACAGAAGAAGAAGAAUUAGAGCUAGAUGAACAAAUGCAGAACAGCAACUACCAGCAAGACGAGGAACAACCAGCUACUUCACCAAAUAUUGAUGAGCAACUCAUGCUGAUAUCCAUGCAAGCGGUUAGAGGAAAAAGCACGGCGGCUACCUUCACCAUGUGGGUGGAGAUUGGAGGAAAAAAGGGGCUAGCACUGGUGGACUCAGGAAGCACCAACACCUUUAUGGAUCUAUCCUUUGCAACAACAACUAAAUGCACUAUUGCUAGGAAUGAUUUGCAGACAGUCCAUAUUGCUGGUGGGGGUAAGUUGCAGACAGGAGCCCACAUUCCUUCUGCAAAUUACUCCAUACAAGGCCAUGAGUUCUCCAACAGUUUCAAACUACUCCCACUGAAAGGGUAUGAAAUUAUUUUGGGUUGUGAUUGGCUGUUGGAGCACAGCCCAAUAUCCUUAGACUUUGAUGAGAGGCUGAUGACAAUCAACUGGAAGAGAGAGAAAACAAUUACUCUACAAGAUAAGACAUUUGCCAAGGGAAUCCCUCCAAUCUCCUUACACAAAUUGAUAGCCAGUAAGAAUAAAAUAACAGAAGGAUAUUUCCUAUUUCCGAAGGCCAAGGAUAAAACAGAAACGGCACCAAUAGAAAACUCUGUGAAGGAAGUACUACAAGAAUUCCAGGAUGUGUUUGAAACACCAACGGAACUUCCACCUCAAAGAGGUUUUGACCAUGCAAUCCCUCUCAAAACAGGAUCUGAGCCACCAGCACUCAGACCUUAUAGGGUGCCUCAUCACCAAAAAGAAGAGAUGGAAAAACAGAUCAAACAACUACUAGACGCUUCAAUCAUAAGGCCUAGUGACAGUCCGUAUGCAGCUCCUGCAUUGCUUGUCAAAAAGAAAGAUGGCACCUGGAGGUUGUGCACAGAUUUCAGAAAACUCAAUGACCAAACCAUCAAAAACAAAUUUCCAAUACCAAUCAUUGAAGAUUUGUUGGAUGAAUUGCAUGGGGCCAAAUAUUUUACAAAAAUAGAUCUCAGAUCUGGGUAUUACCAAAUAAGGAUGAAAAAGGAAGACAUACCCAAAACUGCCUUCACUACAUUCUUGGGGCAUUUCGAGUACCUGGUCAUGCCCUUUGGCCUUACUAAUGCACCGGCCACAUUCCAAGCAUUGAUGAAUUUCAUUUUCAAGGAGCACCUCAGGCACUUUGUCCUCGUCUUCUUUGAUGAUAUCUUAAUCUAUAGUAAGACACUGGAAGACCACAUUAGGCACUUGAGGAUAUUGCUACAAAUCUUGAGGGAACAGCAACCAUAUGCUAAAAUGAGCAAAUGUGUGUUUGCUGCUCCCCAACUGGAAUACCUUGGCCAUAUUAUCUCUUAUGCUGGCGUAGCCACCGAUCCUACCAAGGUAUCCACUAUGAGAGAUUGGCCCUUACCAAAAACAAUCACUCAACUGAGAAGUUUCUUGGGCAUGGCUGGGUACUAUAGAAGAUUUGUUCCCAACUAUGGGCUCAUUUGCAGACCACUCCACAACAUCCUCAAGAAGAACUCCUUCCACUGGACAGAGGAGCAAACUGAAGCCUUCAAUUUGCUAAAACAGAAACGAACCACUGCCCCAGUUCUGGCCCUACCAAACUUCAAAGAAAAAUUUGUACUGGAAACUGAUGCUAGUGGGUAUGGUAUAGGUGCAGUACUGAUGCAAAAUGGUAGACCUAUAGCAUAUUUAAGCAAAACACUGGGCAUGAAAGUUGCUGCUAUGUCAACUUAUGAAAAAGAAGCCUUGGCAAUAUUGGAAGCCCUUAAAAAGUGGAGGCACUACUUUCAGGGACUGGAAUUAGUCAUAAAAACUGACCAGAAAAGUCUUAAGUUUAUCACUGAGCAGAAAGUUUCUGAAGGGCUGCAGCACAAACUCCUACUCAAGCUGUUGGAGUUCAAUUACUCCAUUGAAUACAAGAAGGGGCAAGAAAAUAAAGGGGCGAUGCAUUGA